This 2998-nucleotide ribosomal RNA is filed under the name bioreactor metagenome. RNAcentral's name for it is "bacterial LSU rRNA". It matches the Rfam family "Bacterial large subunit ribosomal RNA". The record is from RNAcentral.
UCAAGCAAUUAAGGGCAUACGGUGGAUGCCUUGGCACUGGUUGGCGAAGAAGGUCGUGGCAAGCUGCGAUAAGCCCCGGGUAGGAGCAAGCAUCCAUUGAUCCGGGGAUAACCGAAUCGGAAAACCGUCUACGGGCGAACCCGUAGAAUCCGUUACUGAAUAAAUAGGUAGCGGAGGCAAUACCAGGGGAAUUGAAACAUCUUAGUACCCUGAGGAAAAGAAAUCAAAAGAGAUUCCCUGAGUAGUGGCGAGCGAAAGGGGAAGAGCCCAAACCGAUCUAUACGUUACAGGCUGGAGCCGCUGUAGGAUCGGUGUUGUAGGUUGUAAACGGAGAGUUCUCCAGGAUUCUCGGGAAGUUACAAAAUCUCAUGUUAGCUGAACCCGCUGGAAAGAGGGCCAAAGAGCGUGAUAGCCGCGUAGGCGAAAACAUAGAGAUCUUCCUGGUUUACAUACCUGAGUAGGGCGGGGCACGUGAAACCCUGUUCGAAUCCGGGAAGACCACUUUCCAAGGCUAAAUACACACCAGUGACCGAUAGUGAACAAGUACCGUGAGGGAAAGGUGAAAAGAACCCCGGGAGGGGAGUGAAAUAGAUCCUGAAACCGUAUGCUUACAAGGUAUUGGAGGGCUAUGAUUCAUGCCUGACAGUGUGCCUUUUGUAGAAUGAGCCGGCGAGUUACUCUAUACAGCGAGGUUAAGCAAUAGGAAUUGCGCAGCCGUAGCGAAAGCGAGUCUUAAAUGGGCGAUUAGUUGUAUGGAGUAGACCCGAAACCGAGUGAUCUAGUUAUGGCCAGGUUGAAGCGUGGGUAAGACCACGUGGAGGACCGAACCGGUAAAUGUUGAAAAAUUUUCGGAUGAGCUGUGACUAGGGGUGAAAGACUAAACAAACUCGGCAAUAGCUGGUUCUCCUCGAAAUAGCUUUAGGGCUAGCCUCAUAUGUUUUGUUGCGGGGGUAGAGCUCUGAUUGGGCUAGGGGGUCCACAAACUUACCAAACCCACUCAAACUACGAAUACCGUAACUUUAGAAUAUGGGAGUCAGACUACGGGAGAUAAGUUCCGUGGUCAAAAGGGAAACAGCCCAGACCAACAGCUAAGGUCCCCAAGUAUAUGCUAAGUGAUAAAGGAAGUGAAGUCGCACAGACACCCAGGAGGUUGGCUUAGAAGCAGCAACCCUUCAAAGAGUGCGUAAUAGCUCACUGGUCGAGUGACUUCGCGCCGAAAAUAAUUGGGACUAAGCAUAUCACCGAAGCUUUGGAUUUGUAGCAAUACAAGUGGUAGAGGAGCAUUCUGUACGGGCUGAAGGUAGACCGCGAGGACUGCUGGACUGUACAGAAGAGAGAAUGCCGGCAUGAGUAACGAUAAAAGGGGUAAAAAACCCCUUCGCCGAAAGCCUAAGGUUUUCUGGGCAAUGUUAAUCAUCUCAGAGUUAGUCGGCCCCUAAGGCGAGGCCUAGCGGCGUAGUCGAUGGGAAGCAGGUUCAUAUUCCUGCACCACCUGGUGGAGGUUAUCGUGAUGGAGUGACGCAGAAGGAUAUAUGCGCAGGGCGCUGGUUGUCCCUGUCCCUAUUCGUAGGCUUGGGUCCCAGGAAAAUCCGGGAUCCUUAUGGCUGAGGAUGUGGGGGAGUUAGUCUUUUAGACGAGCGAAGGUGUAGGUUCCAGGCUGCCAGGAAAAACUUCUAAACGCGAAACCGGGUGACCGUACCGCAAACCGACACAGGUAGGCGGGAUGAAAAUUCUAAGGCGCUCGAGAGAACCCUCGUUAAGGAACUCGGCAAAAUAGUCCCGUAACUUAGGGAAAAGGGACGCCUCAUUAGUGUGAAGCUGAACAGGCAGAGCAUGAAGAGGCCGCAGAUAAAUGGCCCAAGCGACUGUUUACCAAAAACACAGGACUCUGCAAACUCGUAAGAGAAAGUAUAGGGUCUGACACCUGCCCGGUGCCGGAAGGUUAAGAGGAAGUGUUAGCGAAUUAACAUUUGCGAAGCUCUGAAUUGAAGCCCCGGUAAACGGCGGCCGUAACUAUGACGGUCCUAAGGUAGCGAAAUUCCUUGUCGGGUAAGUUCCGACCUGCAUGAAUGGCGUAACGAUCGGAGCACUGUCUCAGCGGAGGGCCCGGUGAAAUUCCAAUCUUGGUGAAGAUGCCAAGUUACCCGCGAUUAGACGGAAAGACCCCAUGAAGCUUUACUGUAUCCUAAUAUGGUAUAGUGGUGGAAGGUGUACAGGAUAGGUGGGAGGCAAUGAACGCAGGGCGUCAGCUCUGCGGGAGCCGAUGGUGGGAUACCACCCUCCUUGCAGCGUUAUACUAACCGAGAUAGGUGGAGAGCCUAUCAGGGACAGUGUUAGGGGGGCAGUUUGACUGGGGCGGUCGCCUCCUAAAAGGUAACGGAGGCGCGCGAAGGUGGGCUCAGGCUGGUUGGGAAUCAGCUGGUGAGUGCAAGGGCAAAAGCCCGCCUGACAGUGAGAGAGACAUCUCGAGCUGAGACGAAAGUCGGUCCUAAUGACCAGGUGGUGCUGUGUGGAAAGGCCAUCGCUCAACGGAUAAAAGCUACCCUGGGGAUAACAGGCUGAUACCGUCCGAGAGUCCAUAUCGACGACGGUGUUUGGCACCUCGAUGUCGGCUCAUCGCAUCCUGGGGCUGUAGUCGGUCCCAAGGGUUGGGCUGUUCGCCCAUUAAAGCGGUACGUGAGCUGGGUUCAGAACGUCGUAAGACAGUUCGGUCCCUAUCUGUCGCGGGCGCAGGAUACUUGAGAAGGCUUCUCCCCAGUACGAGAGGACCGGGAGGAGUGGACCGCUGGUGAACCAGUUGUACUACCAAGUGCAUAUGCUGGGUAGCUAAGUCCAUGAGUGAUAAGCGCUGAAAGCAUCUAAGCGCGAAACAUGCUUCAAGAUGAGGUAUCCCAUCGAAAGAGUAAGGGCCGUUCGAGAAGAGGACGUUGAUAGGCCGCAGGUGGAAGCGGUGUGAGCCGUGCAGCCGAGCGGUACUAAUCGCCCGAGGCCUUGACCU